UUUCAACUGAUUUGAGAGCUUGCUCAGAUAUGAUGAUGGACAUUGCAAAGAGUGGCGAACGGGUGAGUAACACGUGGGAAACUACCUCUUAGCAGGGGAUAACAUUUGGAAACAGAUGCUAAUACCGUAUAACAAUAGCAACCGCAUGGUUGCUACUUAAAAGAUGGUUCUGCUAUCACUAAGAGAUGGUCCCGCGGUGCAUUAGUUAGUUGGUGAGGUAAUGGCUCACCAAGACGAUGAUGCAUAGCCGAGUUGAGAGACUGAUCGGCCACAAUGGGACUGAGACACGGCCCAUACUCCUACGAGAGGCAGCAGUAGGGAAUCUUCCACAAUGGGCGAAAGCCUGAUGGAGCAACGCCGCGUGUGUGAUGAAGGGUUUCGGCUCGUAAAACACUGUUGUAAGAGAAGAAUGACAUUGAGAGUAACUGUUCAAUGUGUGACGGUAUCUUACCAGAAAGGAACGGCUAAAUACGUG
RNAcentral lists this ribosomal RNA (475 nucleotides) under uncultured Weissella sp. Its description in RNAcentral is "bacterial SSU rRNA". It matches the Rfam family "Bacterial small subunit ribosomal RNA", at positions 68 to 507 of the family's 1533-position model. The record is from RNAcentral. Lineage: Bacteria; Bacillati; Bacillota; Bacilli; Lactobacillales; Lactobacillaceae.